GGAGAAUUGGCAGAGUGGUCGAAUGCGCUCGCUUGGAAGGCGAGUAUACGUGAAAGCGUAUCGUGGGUUCGAAUCCCAUGUUCUCCGCCA
RNAcentral lists this transfer RNA (90 nucleotides) under Bacteriovorax sp. Its description in RNAcentral is "tRNA-Ser". It matches the Rfam family "tRNA". Rfam says of the family: Transfer RNA (tRNA) molecules are approximately 80 nucleotides in length. Their secondary structure includes four short double-helical elements and three loops (D, anti-codon, and T loops). The record is from RNAcentral. Lineage: Bacteria; Pseudomonadati; Bdellovibrionota; Bacteriovoracia; Bacteriovoracales; Bacteriovoracaceae.